This 440-nucleotide ribosomal RNA is filed under the name uncultured bacterium. RNAcentral describes it as "partial 16S ribosomal RNA". It matches the Rfam family "Bacterial small subunit ribosomal RNA", at positions 338 to 795 of the family's 1533-position model. The record is from RNAcentral.
CCUACGGGAGGCAGCAGUAGGGAAUAUUGCUCAAUGGGGGAAACCCUGAAGCAGCAACGCCGCGUGGAGGAUGAAGGUUUUCGGAUUGUACACUCCUUUUGUUAGAGAAGAUAAUGACGGUAUCUAACGAAUAAGCACCGGCUAACUCCGUGCCAGCAGCCGCGGUAAUACGGAGGGUGCAAGCGUUACUCGGAAUCACUGGGCGUAAAGGGCGCGUAGGCGGGAUAGCAAGUCAGAUGUGAAAUCCUAUGGCUUAACCAGAGAACUGCAUUUGAAACUGUUAUUCUAGAGUAUGGGAGAGGUAGGUGGAAUUCUUGGUGUAGGGGUAAAAUCCGUAGAGAUCAAGAGGAAUACUCAUUGCGAAGGCGACCUGCUAGAACGUAACUGACGCUGAUGCGCGAAAGCGUGGGGAGCAAACAGGAUUAGAUACCCCUGUAGUC